RNAcentral lists this ribosomal RNA (253 nucleotides) under uncultured bacterium. RNAcentral's name for it is "partial 16S ribosomal RNA". It matches the Rfam family "Bacterial small subunit ribosomal RNA", at positions 524 to 776 of the family's 1533-position model. The record is from RNAcentral.
UAAGAAGGGUGCAAGCGUUACUCGGAAUUACUGGGCGUAAAGCGUGCGUAGGUGGUGAGUUAAGUCUGAUGUGAAAUCCCCGGGCUCAACCUGGGAAUGGCAUUGGAUACUGGCUCGCUAGAGUGCGGUAGAGGGUGGUGGAAUUCCCGGUGUAGCAGUGAAAUGCGUAGAGAUCGGGAGGAACAUCUAAGGCGACGGCGGCCACCUAGACCAACACUGACACUGAGGCACGAAAGCGUGGGGAGCAAACAGG